GUGCCUCAAUCUAUUGAGUAAGGAAAUUAUUGGGCCUUGGUAACGCUUGGCAAUGUCCAAAAAGGGCGAAACGAUUUUUGAAAGGUACAGGUCGUCCCCUGAGUCGUUUGCCUACUUUGCAAGCGAUUCGGGUGAAGCGAACUGCCUU
Small nuclear RNA from Trichoplusia ni (cabbage looper), 148 nucleotides. RefSeq annotates it as U12 minor spliceosomal RNA. The record is from RefSeq and is a predicted model, not a curated record. NCBI's taxonomy places the organism in Eukaryota, Metazoa, Arthropoda, Insecta, Lepidoptera, Noctuidae. The transcript has a single exon.